AUUUCAUUUUAUUUGAAUUGUGCGUUUUGAACAGUGCAGUUAUAUCAGUUGCCGACAAUUCAUGUCCAGAUUGUACUAUACUACAAUAAUAUCCAUCGGUUAAGUAUGGCGUAUAGCUGCUUUCAAACUGAAUGAUCGGAAUCAACUGCUUGCAUGGGAAACUUUCGCAUUUGACGUGAUAUCUUCACGAAACUUGACAUGGAUUACUGCUUAAGGAAAGUUCAGUAACUAAUAAUGGCCACGAAUUGUACGCAAAGACCUGCUCUACAAAUUAAUUCCAUUGAGCAGAACCGCUUGAUGGAAAAAUGAAUGACGAAGAAUUUGCUUCUUCGACGAACAGUCUCUGACCGAUGUGACAUUUAAAAUUUCAAGCCCAACGGCUCUUGUACCCGCGCAUCGUUUGAUACUCGCAGCAGCGGGUCCCUUCUUCGAGAACCUUUCCAAUGGCGUUCAAGGCAAUAAUCCCGUCAUCGAGAUAAAUGAUAUCGAUAGCGAUAUGUUUUUGCGUCCAAAACCAUUUGUUACUACGGUCAUGCCUUGAAAAGUUGUAUGGAAGCAUAAGCACCCUGUAAAGUGUAUUCAUCGAUAUGUGCCAUGAGAAGUUCACAUUACGUUUCGUGCUCCAACGUAUCGGCACCCUGUAAAGUGUAUUCAUCGAUAUGUGUAAUGAUGUAGUCCACACAACUGUUUAUAGCAUCGUCAAUUUGCAAAACGAUUGCUGCCAUGGCGAAGACAUUGUCAAGACAAUAAUCCUGUCUUAGAGAUAAGUGAUGUAGAUAGCGAUAUUUCUGCGUCUAAUAACCUUUUGUUACACCGGACAGACCGUCAUUACCGUUAACAAUAUCGGUGCCGUGCUGAAGGCAGCAAUCGUUUUGCAAUUGGACGAUGCCAUAACCAGUUGUGUGGACUACCUUAUGACACAUAUCAAUGAAUACACUUUACAGGGUGCUUAUACGCUGGAGCGUGAAACACAAUAUGAACUUCUUAAGCAGAAAAUUAUUGAAUACGAAACAGAGAAUUUCAUGGAGGUGAGUAUAAAUAUACACGUAUUGUCUAACAAUAGCGUUUUUAUUUCUGAUAAUACUAGUCAGCCAAAGCCAUGAGUUUCCAAAUUUCGAUGUUGAAAAAUGCAACGUAUUCCGGAAUCUGACAAUUUGAAUAUAUGUAACUCGUGAGGAAGAUGAUUUCGAUGCCAUUAACCGUUGGUUCGAUUACAAUGUUCUUGAGCGUCAUGGACAACUGCCACUUUUAAUAGCUUGUCGCCAGCUUACCCAAGUCGAAGUGAACUUUCUGUUGACACACAUACAUACACUACCAGGUUGAGAGCUGCUGGCCUUUAAAGCGUUAUUGGAUCAGAAAGCCUGCACCGCGAUCAAAAAUAAAUAUGCGAUUUACAGAACCACGUGGGAUCGGUGCUGCUUAUUCUGAUGAAAAAACAUUGCUGGCGGUUUGCUCAGAGGAAACAGAGAUGAAUCCCAAGCUGCUGCAAUAUAACAAAGCUGAGGAUAAGUGGCAAGAAUACGCGAGUAUAGAAAUCGAUUAGCAAUGAUAUACGACUUCCGAGUUCGUAUGGGAGUUCGUAACAACAAACCACAUGGUGCAAGAUAUAUUAAGUUGAUUUUUGCCUAUCGCUUGAUGUCAAUCUAAAUAUUCUUAACGAAAUUUCGCAGAUUUGCUCUUUGGAAGCUUACGGUGGUUUUAUAGCUUGCGUAUUGCUGGAUAAUAAACUAUGGGCUAUUACUGCAAAUUCUUUCCUAGGAAGACAUAUGAAUCAGUAUAUGACGAGGAAAAUGACCGUUGGGGACAAAAGUGCUCACUACCCGAAAGAAGUAUUCAUUCCUGUUUUGUUGCGCCUUAAGACGUCGAAAUGAAAGAUCAAUAUUAAUAAAUGGAUAUUUUGUAAUAAAAGCUCUUAUAAAAAAUA
This is a long non-coding RNA of Bactrocera neohumeralis, 1924 nucleotides long. RefSeq lists it as uncharacterized. Lineage: Eukaryota; Metazoa; Arthropoda; Insecta; Diptera; Tephritidae. The record is from RefSeq and is a predicted model, not a curated record. The transcript has 8 exons.